GAAUAAGAGCUCUCAGUACUCUCGGACCACUUCCUAUUUUCUACGCUGUGGAUCCAAGCAAGGGCUAUGUUUAUGUGCUUUUUUUAACUCUCCCCAACAGAGUUGUCCUCUGAUCUGCUGAGAGCCGGGUUUCAGCUUUACACCUGAGAGGGAUGGAUGUACCACUCACCUGACAACUUCCAUUCAGCUUGCCCACAAACUCUCCAGAAGUUCCGUCCUUCUGCCUCUAGCUGCAUG
RNAcentral lists this long non-coding RNA (237 nucleotides) under Gallus gallus (chicken). The record is from RNAcentral. Lineage: Eukaryota; Metazoa; Chordata; Aves; Galliformes; Phasianidae.